CACCCCAUGGGUGCCAGCCGUGUCACGUGGCCGUCCCCAGGACUCGUACCUGCUCCAGUACUUCUCGGACCUGAACCAGUACCUGGCCGUGGGUGUCCCCACCUACUUUGUCACCACCGGUGGCUUCGACUUCUCCUCCCCGAACGGCACCAACGCCAUCUGCUCCAGCGCCGGCUGCGACGACGACUCGCUCACGCAGACCAUCCAGAUGGCCACGCGCUUCCCCAACGUGUCCUACCUGGCCAUCCCGGCCACCUCGUGGGUGGACGAUUUCCUGGACUGGCUGAACCCCAUGGGGCCGUGCUGCCGCGUCUACCAGUGUGAGGAGCUCCAGGGCGAGUUCUGCCCCGCCACCGGCAGUGAGUGCGGGGCACGGGGGCUACUCCGUGGUGGCCGCUGUGUGCCCACCAUGGUGGUCCUUGGGUGGCCAUUGCAUGCCCACCGUGGUGGCCAUUGUGUGCCCACCGUGGUGGUCCUUGGGUGGCUAUUGGGUGCCCAUCAUGGUGGUCCUUGGGUGGCCAUUGCGUGCCCACCGUGGUGGCCAUUGGGUGCCCAUCAUGGUGGUCCUUGGGUGGCCAUUGCGUGCCCACCGUGGUGGUCCUUGGGUGCCCACCGUGGGGGUCCUUGGGUGGCCAUUGUGUGCCCACCAUGGUGGCCAGUGGGUGGCCAUUGCAUGCCCACCGUGGUGGUCCUGGCGAUCCAUUCAGUGACCAUUGAUGGGGACCAUUGGGUGCCCACCAUGGUGGUCCUUGGGUGUCUGUUGGGUGCCCAUCAUGGUGGCCAUUGGGUGGCCAUUGGGUGCCCACUGUGGUAGCCAUUGGGUGGCCAUUGGGUGGCCAUUGGGUGCCCACUGUGGUAGCCAUUGGGUGGCCAUUGGGUGCCCACCAUGGUGG
Molecule: long non-coding RNA, 893 nt
Filed under: Parus major (Great Tit)
Lineage: Eukaryota; Metazoa; Chordata; Aves; Passeriformes; Paridae
Description: lncRNA (ENSPMJG00000003551.1)
Source: RNAcentral